AUCCAGCCGAUAUGUCCCAAAUAGGACGAAACGCGCCUCCUGGAU
RNAcentral lists this non-coding RNA (45 nucleotides) under Schistosoma mansoni. The record is from RNAcentral. Lineage: Eukaryota; Metazoa; Platyhelminthes; Trematoda; Strigeidida; Schistosomatidae.